GGCGGCCACCGAGAAGCACCACAGGCUUGGAGCAAGAGUGAUCCCAGGGGACUGGGCUAGAAGACUCCAACUCUGAAAUUCUGUGAUCUUCCGAGUACGUGAUAAUAUGCCUAUUUUUAUCCAUGAAAUACUGGAUUGUAUCCUAUGUCCACCUUCGUGGGAGAUCAACAAAAUAAAGACUGAGAAGCAAAAAGGCCACCUUUUCAGGAGGGAGGGUCAUGGGCAGGAGAUGAGGAGAGUGCCGGCGAAACUCUCCACUAGGAAGCCUCAUAUUGGAAUUGUAACAAUAUGCAUCCCCAUUCCAAGAAAUUUUUGUCUUAACACAGCCGUUUCCCCACAAAUUACGUUCGUAUUUUACGAGAAAUUUCGCUUUAACUCAAACAUACUGACAGUUCUAUGCUACUAUCUGCUUCUCAUCUCACCCUUUGUUAAUUAAAAUGGGGCAGGGGCAUAGCUUAAUGCAAUGGAAAGGACCACAAUGGAAAGGAACACCGGCUUUAAAGGGGAAUAAAGACCUUGCUUGAAUGUU
Long non-coding RNA from Hemicordylus capensis (graceful crag lizard), 529 nucleotides. RefSeq lists it as uncharacterized. Lineage: Eukaryota; Metazoa; Chordata; Lepidosauria; Squamata; Cordylidae. The transcript has 2 exons. The record is from RefSeq and is a predicted model, not a curated record.